GGAAGUGAGUCAGUAGGUACCUCGGCCAAAGAAGGAGGAACAACGACACGAUGACGACGAUGAUAAACCUGAAGUGGGCGAGAAGGCACUGCAUCAGGUGGGGAGAUAAUGGGAAGGGGUAAGACUUCAGAAACAGGAAGAAACUCAGAGGUGGAGAAGAAUGGUGAGUCCUCAAAGAAAGUGACAUCAGCGGAGAGAAAGUAGCGAUGAGUCUCAGAGGAAUAACAACGAUAACC
Molecule: long non-coding RNA, 236 nt
Filed under: Vitis vinifera (wine grape)
Lineage: Eukaryota; Viridiplantae; Streptophyta; Magnoliopsida; Vitales; Vitaceae
Description: long non-coding RNA (VVIN_LNC007557)
Source: RNAcentral